GUAAGGUCAGCUAACAAAGCUAUCGGGCCC
RNAcentral lists this transfer RNA (30 nucleotides) under Amazona ventralis. Its description in RNAcentral is "partial tRNA-Met". Lineage: Eukaryota; Metazoa; Chordata; Aves; Psittaciformes; Psittacidae. The record is from RNAcentral.